Molecule: ribosomal RNA, 253 nt
Filed under: uncultured bacterium
Lineage: Bacteria
Description: partial 16S ribosomal RNA
Rfam family: Bacterial small subunit ribosomal RNA
Source: RNAcentral
CACGUAGGGCGCGAGCGUUGUCCGGAAUUAUUGGGCGUAAAGAGCUCGUAGGCGGCCUGUUGCGUCCGAUGUGAAAGCCCGGGGCUUAACCCCGGGUCGGCAGUGGAUACGGGCAGGCUAGAGGUAGGUAGGGGAGAAUGGAAUUCCCGGUGUAGCGGUGAAAUGCGCAGAUAUCGGGAGGAACACCAGUGGCGAAGGCGGUUCUCUGGGCCUUACCUGACGCUGAGGAGCGAAAGCGUGGGGAGCGAACAGG